GACUUCUGAGAGCUGAGCAGAGCCCCUUACCAUAUCCACAUAUUGGCUUCUACUCUCCUCAUUCAUAUAGACUGAAACAUCACGUUCAAAUUCUGAGUUGAAGGUUUUCCAGACACUUUUCUCCUCAGUGACUAUCUUGCAGCUCAUUCUCAAAGUCCCAUGCCAUGAUGACUGACCUUCUGGUGGAGGAGGAUUGGUGCAGUUCCCCAUAGAGCCCAUCAACACAAUUCCUGAAUGAGCUAGAUGUCUGGCAGGUCUUCAGUUUCUAUCCGUGAUGAACAGAAGUCACAUGGGGUAUGUCUACCUGGCAGUUAAACACCUACGGUUGACCUGUGUCAUCUGGCUCAGGCUGCAGGCUGUAAAAAUGCGAUAUAGAUGCUCAGGCUGGGGCCCAAACUCUGAGACCCCACAAGUGGGGAGGAGCCCAGGCUGCAGCCCGAGGCCAAAUGUCUACCCUGCAAUUUUACAGCCCCACAGCCUGAGCUCUGCAAGCCCGAGACAGAUGACAUGGGCCAGCCACUGGUGUUUAAUUGCUGUGUAGACAUACCUUAAAGUCCAGAGUCUUAGCUUCAAGUGAUCCCAACCUAUCCGCCUGUAUCCAAAAAUUCCAUUCAUAUCUGGUUUUCAGCUUGCAUCUCGCACAGUUAUAUUCUCUUGGGAUUGAAGCCUGAGGGGCACAUUAGGGCUUACUUAUUUCGGACUACAGCAGCAUCAAUGAACAAUCUCUUUCCAUCCUACCAGGCGUGGUUUGCAAGGCAUUCACUUCUCCCAUUCUUAUCACAGUACAGCAUCACUAAGGGGUUAAGCUUUCUUUUCCUGUUUCUCCCUCUUCACUGGCACACUUUCGUACAUGCUCUUCACAUCCUCCUAAGCUAACAUAUGGGGGUUUUAAUCCUUUUUUUCUUUAACCUGCUAUCUAGUGUGUCAGCUCUGUUUCAUCUUCAUAGAGCUAAUGCUAGCUCUUUUAAAAAAAAAAAAAAUGAAUGAUUGCAGUGCUUGUGCAAAUUGCUAGAUCGACAGCUAUACACUGAGCACAUGGAUAAUGGCAGUGCAAAUUUUCCAACACCAUCUUGCAAGUGUCCCCCAACCCUGACCUGCAGGUUCAGAGGAGAGUUCUGGCUCACUGUACAUUUAAUCCUUGGCCUCUGUGUUAGAGAUGCUCAUUGUGAUAUGGAGACAUACAUGUAUCAGACAGCAGGAAUCACACUGCUUUCAUAGAGGUCACCUAAUAGCCAGCUGACAAUAACACAUUUCGGUCACUAUCAGCUUCAGCUAGAUUUGAACUAGCAACUAAGGCCUUGUCUUCAUUGCU
This is a long non-coding RNA of Chelonia mydas (Green sea turtle), 1312 nucleotides long. RefSeq lists it as uncharacterized. NCBI's taxonomy places the organism in Eukaryota, Metazoa, Chordata, Testudines, Cheloniidae. The record is from RefSeq and is a predicted model, not a curated record. The transcript has 2 exons.